RNAcentral lists this transfer RNA (91 nucleotides) under Subtercola frigoramans. RNAcentral describes it as "tRNA-Leu". It matches the Rfam family "transfer-messenger RNA", at positions 282 to 374 of the family's 374-position model. Rfam says of the family: Bacterial tmRNA, also known as 10Sa RNA or SsrA, is named for its dual tRNA and mRNA-like properties. Its role is to liberate the mRNA from a stalled ribosome. To accomplish this part of the tmRNA is used as a reading frame that ends in a translation stop signal. Lineage: Bacteria; Bacillati; Actinomycetota; Actinomycetes; Micrococcales; Microbacteriaceae. The record is from RNAcentral.
GGAGCCGAGUAGAACGAUUUCACUGGCUACACCCGUAGAAGGCACAUGACCACAGCAGUGGACCGGGGUUCAAUUCCCCGCAUCUCCACCA